Unclassified non-coding RNA from Callithrix jacchus (white-tufted-ear marmoset), 286 nucleotides. It matches the Rfam family "Metazoan signal recognition particle RNA". Rfam says of the family: The signal recognition particle (SRP) is a universally conserved ribonucleoprotein. The record is from Ensembl. NCBI's taxonomy places the organism in Eukaryota, Metazoa, Chordata, Mammalia, Primates, Cebidae.
GCCGGGUGCGGCUUGUGCUUGUAGUCCCAGCUCCUCAGGAGGCUGAGGCUGGAGGAUUGCUUGAGCCUGGGAGUUCUGGGCUGUAGUGUGCUAUGCCGCACUAAGUUCGGCAUCAAUAUGGUGACCUCCUGGGAGCAGGGGACCCCAGUUUGCCUAAGGAGGGGUGAACCGGCCCAGGUCGGAUAUGGAGCAGGUCAAAAUUCGCGUGCUGAUCGGUAGUGGGAUCACACCUAUGAGUAGUAGCCACUGCACUGCAGCAUGGGCACAUAGCGAGACCCGGUCUCUU